Molecule: ribosomal RNA, 497 nt
Filed under: uncultured bacterium
Lineage: Bacteria
Description: partial 16S ribosomal RNA
Rfam family: Bacterial small subunit ribosomal RNA
Source: RNAcentral
GAUGAACGCUGGCGGCGUGCCUAAUACAUGCAAGUCGAGCGAACGGACGAGAAGCUUGCUUCUCUGAUGUUAGCGGCGGACGGGCGAGUAACACGUGGAUAACCUACCUAUAUGACUGGGAUAACUUCGGGAAACAGUAUCUACUACCGGAUAAUAUUUUGAACCGCAUGGUUCAAAAGUGAAAGACGGUCUUGCUGUCACUUAUAGAUGGAUCCGCGCUGCAUUAGCUAGUUGGUAAGGUAACGGCUUACCAAGGCAACGAUGCAUAGCCGACCUGAGAGGGUGAUCAGCCACACUGGAACUGAGACACGGUCCAGACUCCUACGGGAGGCAGCAGUAGGGAAUCUUCCGCAAUGGGCGAAAGCCUGACGGAGCAACGCCGCGUGAGUGAUGAAGGUCUUCGGAUCGUAAAACUCUGUUAUUAGGGAAGAACAUAUGUGUAAGUAACUGUGCACAUCUUGACGGUACCUAAUCAGAAAGCCACGGCUAACUACGUG